CACUGUUAACCUAUUUGAAGUCGGUCGGAACAAAUCAAUUUCACCAGGUAGACUCUGCACCGCCAUUCAUCAGGUACCUUACGCCUUUGUAUAUAUAUAUAUAUACUUGUUCAAUUUUACUUGAAUGUGCAUAUAUAUAUAGUUAUUAUGCAUUUUACAUGUUUGUAAUUUAUAUUUUUAUUUUUGCAAACUAUUAACCUAUCGGAAGUCUGUCGAAACAAAUCAAUUUCACCAGGUACUCUGCACCGCCAUCAUCAGGUACCUUAGGCCUCUCUCUAAAUAUAUAUAUAUAUAUAUAUAUAAUUAUUAUGCAUUUUACAUGUUUGUGAUUUAUAAUUUUAUUUUUGCACUAUUAACCUAUCGGAAAAAAUCAAUUUCACCAGGUAGACUCUGCACUGCCAUUUUUAGGGCUUUCUGCUAGUAUAUAAGAUCUGAAUGACAAUUUAGUAAUUUUUAUUUUAUAAUUAUUAUUAUCAUUUAUUAUAAUAUUUUUAAGAUAUUUUUUAAUAUUUAUUAUUGUAUUGAUUAAAAUUAAAAGAAUUAUAUCAAAUUUGUGUUUGGUACAAAACGUUGUGAUAAGCACCUCUACUAAGUACAAGUAAUGUAUUCAAAACUCCGUAGAGGAGCUCGGGUGCAAAGGAAUUUAACUAGUGCACACCCCAAGUGUAGUAUUACACUUUAUGGAGCAUGAUUUUAUAUGUAGCUGAAUUAAUGGCCAAUGAAAAUAAUAUGAUUCAAUGUUUCAAAAAGUUGAUGAUCUGCUACACUUGUGGCGGCUCCUCCACUGGUGGCGGCUUCUCCACUGGUCGCGACGCAAACUAUUAAAUAGUUUAAGAAAUCUGGUGUAAAAAUAUAAAAUAAACAGAAAAAGUUAAAUGUGAAAAAAUUGAAAUAGAAAAUAACUUACCAGCAUGGUAUAUUGAUGUGUGCUCCCGAUAUUCCGCUUUUUUUAUUCUUGUUCCACAUAAGGGGAACUUCAGAUCAUUAUUGAACAUGUCAUUCGUGAGCCAAGACUUCGUUUUUGGCAUAACUAAUAAAAGAGAAUAACAUUAGACUAAAUGUAAUACCAUAAGAUGCAGAUUUUGCUUUCAGAUUUUUGUGUAAUACAAGAUAAUUUUCUUCUCUCAAUUUUGCUUCAAUUUUGCUUUACCUACGCUUACUGUCAUGACACUUCUCACAGACUCCGUUUCUGGACCACCAUUUUUAUGUACCAUCCGUUAUGUUAUGAUACAUCCGUUAUGCUCAAUACUAAAGAAUAACUAUAUAACUCUGUAUUACCUAGAUAUUUAUAUCAUAAUUUUAUUGUUAGUGAAAUGAUAAAAUGCAUCAUCCUUGCACAAUCCAAUUUCCUUUUGUAAUUGCUAUCACACUGCUCUUACCAGAUUAAUUAUGCUCAUAACAACUCAAUUUCAAUUCUUUUAUAGAUUGAAAGGUCCCAAGAAAUGAUGGAUAUGCCUUUCUCUUUCCCUAUCUCUAAAUAUAUUUACUUAUUCAAAUUUACUUAAAUGCGCAUAUAUAUAUAUAUAUAUAUAGUUUUUAUGCAUUUUACAUGUUUGUGAUUUACAUUUUUAUUUUUGCACUGUCAGUUACAGAUUGUAUUUCUUGGGACCUUUCAAUCUGCAAAAUAAUUGAAAUUGAGUUGUUAUGAACAUAAAGCAGUAUGAUAGCAAUUACAAAAGGAAACUGGAUUAUCCAAGGAUGAUGCAUUUUAUCAUUUUACUUUCAAUCUGUCCAUUUGUUUUUGAAAGUGAGAAAUUUAAAAAUUAUGAUAUAAAUAUCUUGGUAAUGCAGAGAUAUAGUUAUUCUUUAGUAUUGAGCAUAACGGAUGGUACAUAAAAAUGGUGGUCUAGAGAAAUUAAACAGAGUCGAUUGUGAGAAGUGUCAUGGCAGCAAGUGUAGGUAAAGCAAAAUUGAGAGAAGAAAAUUAUCUUGUAUUACACAAAAAUCUGAAAAAAAAUAUUUUUUUUCAAUUCAAGCAUACUAAUUAUAGGCUCUUCUGCAUCUUAUGGUAUUACAUUUAGUCUAAUGUUAUUCUCUUUUAUUAGUUAUGCCAAAAACGAAGUUUUGGCUCACGAAUGCCAUGUUCAGUAAUGAUCUGAAAUGCCCCUUAUGUGGAACAAGAAUCAAAAAUUCAAAAUAUCGGGGGAACACGUAUCAAUGUACCAUGUUGGUAAAUUAUUUUCUAUUUCAAUUUUUUCACAUUUUACUUUUUUUGUUAAUUUUAUAUUUUUACACCAGAUUUCUUAAACUAUUUAAUAGUUUGCACCGCCACUAGUGGAGGAGCCGCCACCAGUGAAGGAGCCGCAACCAGUGGAGGAGCCGCCACAAGUGGAGCUGAUCAACAACUUUCUGAAGCAUUGAAUCAUAUUAUUUUCAUUGGUCAUUAGUUCAGCUACAUAUAAUAUUAAGUGUAACCACUACUCUUGGGGUGUGCACUAGUUAAAUUCCUUUGCACCAGAGGUCCUCUAUAGAAUUUUGAAUACAUUACUUGUACUUGGUAGAGGUACUUAUCAUAAUGUUUUGUACCAAACACAAAUUUGAUAUAAUUCUUUUAAUUUUA
This 2560-nucleotide long non-coding RNA is filed under the name Panax ginseng (ginseng). RNAcentral's name for it is "long non-coding RNA (PGIN_LNC016688)". The record is from RNAcentral. Lineage: Eukaryota; Viridiplantae; Streptophyta; Magnoliopsida; Apiales; Araliaceae.